This 3849-nucleotide long non-coding RNA is filed under the name Xyrichtys novacula (pearly razorfish). Lineage: Eukaryota; Metazoa; Chordata; Actinopteri; Labriformes; Labridae. The record is from RNAcentral.
GUGUGAAGCGGCUGGGAUGCGAAUUGGCACCUCCAAGUCCGAGACCAUGGUCCUCAGUCGGAAAAAGGUAGAUUGCUGUCUCCGGGUCGGAGGGGAGGUCCUGCCUCAAGUGGAGGGGUUCAAGUAUCUCGGGAUCUUGUUCACUAGUGAGGGUAGGAUGGAGCGGGGGAUCGACAGGCGGAUCGGAGCGGCGUCAGCAGUGAUGCGGACGCUUAACCGAUCUGUCGUGGUGAAGAAAGAGCUGAGCCGUAAGGCGAGACUCUUGAUUUACCGGUCGAUCUACGCGCCGAUUCUCACCUGUGGUCAUGAACUUUGGGUAAUGAGCAAGAGAACAAGAUCACGGAUACAAGCGGUCGAAAUGGGUUUCCUUUGCAGAGCGGCUUGGCUCAGCCUUAGAGACAGGGACACUCGGGAGGCGCUCAGAGUAGAACCGCUGCUCCUUCACGUCGAGAGGAGUCAGCUGAGGUGGCUCAGGCAUCUGGUUAGGAUGCCUUCUAGAUGCCUCCCUAUAGAGGUGGCCCACCGGGAGGAGACCUCGUGGCCGGCCCAGGACCAGGUGGAGAGAUUAUAUCUCUCGCCUGGCCUGGGAGUGCCAGGGAAUCCCUGUGGAGGAACUGGUGGAAGAGGCUGGGGUGAGGGCCGUCUGGGCUUCCCUCCUGAAGCUGCUGCCCCGCAACCCAGACCCGGAUAAGCGGAAGAAAACGAUGACGACGACUGAAUAUAUGGCUUUACAUGAAUGGAUAGUGAGGAUGGUAGUAAUGCAACAUGAUAGAUACCAACUGGUAUAUGAAAACUCAAAGAAAAUGAAGCAGCAGCAAACAUGCAGAAAGUAGUAGCUGGAAUCACUGCCAUUUUAACAAUCUGCGCUUGGUCUUGAUAUCAGAUUUUUUACUUCACAAUUAUCAUGACCUUAAAAUAUUGAUUUGAUAUUGUUGAGAUAUUUGUGGAAAACCUAAAUUUGUUAAAAAGGCUGGUAAUCAUUAACACCCGUACACCCUAUGUCAGAUAAACCAACCCAAUCACAACGAUGACAUUCCCUCAGCUUAUUUGCAAACAGCCAAGCUGGCAGCUUCUGCUCCUGGAGGGUCUGUUUGAAUCUGCCUUUUUAAAUGAACUGGAUGAUUGAUUUUCAUAAAAACACGAACAGGGCAGUUUUGUAUUCACAUCGUUCACCAUUCACCACAGGGGAUUUUCCUUCCAACACUAAGCUGGUCAGUUGUCUGAUGUGUCACUUCCCCCCUUUGCAGAGGUUUCCAGCAUUGAAAAUUACAAUGUAGAAAUAAUCAGUCUUGCUGCUAAUAGUCCCACUCUGAAUGAGGGAUCACUGCUAAUUUCUAUUUGUCUCGUAACCGCUUAAAACCUCCUCAUGGGACCUUUGAAUCAGGAAGUAUUUUUAAACUUUUGGGUGAUGAAUAUAAGAAUGCCUGACCUUCACUCACACUCUUGUCGAUUUACUGUGUGUUAGCUGUACUUUGGCUUAAGUAUGGCUGUCAGAUACUCCGUUCUUCUCACAGACAGUCCCCUGCUUAUCAUUUCAUGAGUGUAAAGCAACUAAAAGCAAAAAACUUGCAUUUAUUCUGUGACUUGCUAGACAAUCAGACAAACAGGUUGCAGUUUUGAUAAUAAGAAUGAAUGUAAUGACAACAUUUAAACCAAAAAGUCCAAAUAUGUUCAAAAGACACAGUCCAAUAUAAAAUCUAGAGAGUAUCCAGAAGUCCCUGUUAGUGGGUAUCAAAGCAUCCAGAGACCUGCAGCCCCCCUGACACCAGAGUUGGGCUGUCAUCUCUGUCGUCUCUCAGGAGUAAACUGUGAUACCUUAUCAGAGCUCUCUGGGUCCUGCAGACACUGCUGUCACGUUUGAUGGAUCUUUUCUCUCCGCUGUGUCUUCAAGCUACAUAAUAUCGCAGAUAACUGGACUGUCACUCACUUUUUUUUUUUCAGCCUUAUUAGAUCACUUCUCUUAGUCCUAAAAACAUUUGAGUGCAGCUAACAGGCCUGUGUGGACGGCUGUCAUCCCCUUAUCUGAAAUCUUAUCCCCUAGUUGAUGGAAAGUAUGAAAAAAAAAGAUAUAUUUUACGAUAUAAUUGACCCAUAGACUGUAUAUAGAAUGGACGCCUUCUGCCUCCUCACUGGGUUAAGCCGCCCUGAGAACAGCACCCUCUGGUGACGGGCUGCGGUAUAGGUCAUAAAUCCCGCCUCCUCCAGCAAUCCCUAUGGAGCUGUGGACAAACUUUAGAAAUUUAUUACACAGAAUGUAAAUUUUUUUCUCCCCUGCAUGCGAUGUUGACAUGUAGCUACUGUAAGACUGGUUUGUGCUCAAGUCAUUUUUUUUUAUGUGCAGCUCCGUUUUCAAAAGUUAUUAGGGGGUUCAUGUUUUCUAUGAUUGAUACCUGAUACAGCCUAUGGGCGUAUGAAGAUUGCAUAGCUCAUCCGGGGAAUAUGCUGUUUGAGGAGAGCGUCGUCACAGCGACUCUCCUGACGAAUGCGUACAAUGCUACUGUGCUGUGGUGGAGUGCGUACAACGCUACUGUACAAUGUUGGUUUCAGGAAAUAUCGCAAGCUUUUCGGCUUCAAAUCCAUUUACUGGCAGAAGGCGGAACCAAGUAGUCCACAGUAUAUACAGUCUAUGAAUUGACCAUAAGAUUUUAAGGGAGUUCCUGCUGUUUUCCAGCAGCAAGUUAUAUCUAGUAGCUAGUUUGUUUUGGACCAAUAUGUAUAAGUAAAAAAAAACAUCCAAUAACAUUAAAAAGUGAAUAGAGGGAGUAAUACACUUGCUGCAGAUUAUUGAUUGGUUUAAAAAGGGGAAACAACAGUGAUGUAAAUGUUUGCCAUAUCACAGGACCAACUAUUUGGUUUCACCAUUAUUUGUCAGAGCAUUUAGAAAACAGAUUUUCAUUGAUGGUUUGUUUGCCAUUUAAGUCCUCAUCUCUGUUUUAAAAAAAUCAGUUUGUCAGUAAACCCCACAGAGGUAAAGUCACUAUUGGAGCUGUAUCUGGCAGCAACAACAAGCAUGUAGAUCCCCAACAUUCCUGUUGAUUUGAUCAUUUUUAAAGGUCUUAUGAUCAGAUGUUCUUUUAUACAGACACGUAUUUUUUAAUUACCUUGAUGAUAUGUUUCGGCGUGCUGGCAGCAGUCUUCCUUAGAGUGUGACGCAUCUUAAAAUGGCUGAUGUUUCCAAAGAACAUCUAAUUGUAAUUUAUCAAAAAAGACACAAUGAACCUAAUCCAAGAAUUUUUAAAGGUCUGUUUCUGUUUCUCGAUCAGGUUGAUUAAAUCCAGUUUUUCUACAAAAUAUCAGGACAAAGUGUGAUGGAGUACCCGAUACUAGAGAGCUGUGUAUUUAUAAAUCAAUUUUAUUAUGAUCUAAACUGAAAUUGAGCUUUGUGGGCCCAGAGCAAUGCCAAAACUUUCUGUAACUAUGAGUCAUUUAGACUCCUUAAUAAAUGUUGAAUUGCGGCUGAGGUUUCUGCUGACUUAUAUUCGUGUGACGUUGAUCAGGUGUUAUUUAGAGUUUUUCUUGAAGGACAUUUAAUGAAUGAGCUUGCAGAUAUAAAUUUACUGAUAAAAAGUAAAAUACAAACACUGAGACUAAUUUUCAAGGACUUUGUGUACAUGUUUUUGUCUCCAUCAGGACACACACGUCUCCACGGAUUGAUUUACAAACCUCAUCAUCUCAGAGGAUGGAGGCAGCUUCAUCUAAAUUCUCCUGUCCCCUCUGAGACCUUCCUCUGAUAGGAUCCAUUAUCUCCUGUUGUUUCAGAAUGGCACUUCCUGUCGGGAUAAGCAGCCUAAUUGUAAAUUUGCAUAAAGCAAGAAUAAAUGGAGGACCCCAGCAGAAAACCUCUCGGUG